Molecule: transfer RNA, 88 nt
Filed under: Salmonella enterica subsp. enterica
Lineage: Bacteria; Pseudomonadati; Pseudomonadota; Gammaproteobacteria; Enterobacterales; Enterobacteriaceae
Description: tRNA-Leu(taa)
Rfam family: tRNA
About the family: Transfer RNA (tRNA) molecules are approximately 80 nucleotides in length. Their secondary structure includes four short double-helical elements and three loops (D, anti-codon, and T loops). Further hydrogen bonds mediate the characteristic L-shaped molecular structure. tRNAs have two regions of fundamental functional importance: the anti-codon, which is responsible for specific mRNA codon recognition, and the 3' end, to which the tRNAs corresponding amino acid is attached (by aminoacyl-tRNA synthetases). tRNAs cope with the degeneracy of the genetic code in two manners: having more than one tRNA (with a specific anti-codon) for a particular amino acid; and 'wobble' base-pairing, i.e. permitting non-standard base-pairing at the 3rd anti-codon position.
Source: RNAcentral
GCCCGGAUGGUGGGAAUCGGUAGACACAAGGGAUUUAAAAUCCCUCGGCGUUCGCGCUGUGCGGGUUCAAGUCCCGCUCCGGGUACCA